GGGCCGCCGGCUGCCUGACGAUAUCCCGGAACACCAGUUCUUCAUCAACUACGGACCCAGCUAUGAUCUGGCUGUAAGUCCAGGCUUAAGAAAGGACUACAAUACUGCCGAAGAUAUCCAGACUAUCCGCCGGAGAGUCAGUGAGAACAUGCAGAACGUGGAAGAGCCGAAGUCCUGAGCAUUGGGGCGUCAGAAGCGAGGCAGCGGGGUGACGGCUACCCAUGCAGUGAGGCAGCCUGCAGUGCGCCGCUCGGUACGAGACUGUGAUACCCAUAUCAUGCUUCCUAUCCAAAUUUGCCAGCCUCUAUCCGCUUGUGCCGUUCUGUUCCUUUUCGGGUCAGAGCGCCGCAGGCAUUCAGGUGCAUGCUUAUCGUUCUUCACCGCGCAAACAACGUCGAGUCAUCCCUGGUGAUGCUGCGAAAGAUGAUAUGCACGCGUGGUGAUCAGGGCCAGAAAUAUACCAUGGAAUCGUUGGAGAUAAUUGUAUUCAUUAUUGACGUCCGUGUAUUUGGUGUGGGCAUAUACAACACCAGGGUAUGCCUGUGUACGUAUGCAAUAGAUUCU
Long non-coding RNA from Pollicipes pollicipes, 564 nucleotides. RefSeq lists it as uncharacterized. The transcript is spliced from 3 exons. The record is from RefSeq and is a predicted model, not a curated record. NCBI's taxonomy places the organism in Eukaryota, Metazoa, Arthropoda, Thecostraca, Pollicipedomorpha, Pollicipedidae.